RNAcentral lists this ribosomal RNA (306 nucleotides) under uncultured bacterium. Its description in RNAcentral is "partial 16S ribosomal RNA". It matches the Rfam family "Bacterial small subunit ribosomal RNA", at positions 507 to 807 of the family's 1533-position model. The record is from RNAcentral.
GACAGCAGCAGCCGCGGGAAAACGGAGGGUGCAAGCGUUAAUCGGAAUUACUGGGCGUAAAGCGCACGCAGGCGGUCUGACAAGUCAGAUGUGAAAUCCCCGGGCUUAACCUGGGAACUGCAUUUGAAACUGUCAGGCUGGAGUCUUGUAGAGGGGGGUAGAAUUCCAGGUGUAGCGGUGAAAUGCGUAGAGAUCUGGAGGAAUACCGGUGGCGAAGGCGGCCCCCUGGACAAAGACUGACGCUCAGGUGCGAAAGCGUGGGGAGCAAACAGGAUUAGAUACCCCGGUAGUCCCUGUCUCUUAUAC